UCACAGAUUUUUUCCUACUGAAGUUUGGUCAAGAAUAUCGGUAACCACGUCAACAGUUGGGAUUUGAAUGCGGCGUCAUGAUCCGUCCUUCACCAGCUGAAAUUUUCUUCAACCUUUGGAAUUUGCAACUCUACGCAAUUGAUUUUUGCUUGUAAAAUGAAUGCAAAACGAUGAUUCUCAAAGGCGCAAAAUUCAGGAUUUCUUCACUCCAUGCCAAACCUAGAUUCUCGCACUUCACAGAUUUUUUCUUACUGAAGUUUUGUCAAGUAUAUCGCUAAUCACGUCAACAGUUGCGAUUUGAAUGCGGCGUCAUGAUCCGUCCUUUACCAGCUGAAAUUUUCUUCAACCUUUGAAAUUUGCAACUCUACGCAAUUGAUUUUUGCUCGUAAAAUGAAUGCAAAACGAUGAUUCUCUAAGGCGCAAGAUUCAGGAUUUCUUCACUCCAUGCCAAACCUAGAUUCUCGCACUUCACAGAUUUUUUCUUACUGAAGUUUUGUCAAGUAUAUCGCUAAUCACGUUAACCGUUGCGAUUUGAAUGCGUUCCUUCGUUCGGAUGGAUUUUGGAUCUAUGCCUAUUGAAAUAUUUGAAGAAAAAUGCCAUGUCCAAGCCUAUUGAAAUAUUUGAAGAAAAAUGCCAUGUCCAACAUGAGCCUCACCAUCAGUAUUUCGGCCUAAUGUUUUUUUUCAUAGAAGUCGACAGUCUCCAGUCUGCGACGCAAAGAUUUACUUCUUGGCGCAUGAUAAAUUGGAGUCUAUAUGAAGAUCUGUGCCUUAGAAUUUAUUGUAAUAAUUAUAUUUUUUCCGCUCUCACCGAUAAGAUCAAAGUCAGUGACAGGAAAUGUUCGAACAUAGCCGGAUCGCGCCCUUGCGUCCGCCUCUUAGAAAAUUGGAGUACGCAAUUUUUUUUCAUAUCGAUUCCUUGAAGAAUCCACGAAUUUCAGUCUGAAUAACUCAAGGCUUUUGCCCUCAGCCUUCUUUUCGAACAUGUGCUUUAUCAAAGCCCAAUGACGCACGAAGCUCAACCGAAACCUAGCCCAGUGAAUUGAAAUCAAGGCAAAUGCCCUCCUUUUUUGGAUACGGACCUCUGCUCAGUGACUUUCGUCAGAAAAUUUCUGCGACGCCUCAAUUUUAGAAAUUGGUCAACGACCUUGGACGUAUUAUUCAUCAUUCAAGUUAGGCUGGCGGCGUCGGCGUUUACCGCCGUGGACAACGGACAACAUUUCAUCAACGGUUAAAUGAGCGUUCUACGCCUGCUACAACGCUACCAACCCGGUGAGCAUGUCUAAUGCUCCGUGGGUGUUGAAACUCAAUUAAUCCGCAGAUAGAAUCGACGAUAGGAGUGGAGUGCCUGAGCAGCCCCUUUUGCCAGAAGCAGCUUUAUUCAGAUGUGCCAGCCAUUCGGAACCAGGGCUGUGCCUUUCUUCAAACAGAUGACAGCGAUGGAUCGAGAAAAACACCCGAGUAGUACACUGAAGAUGGGGAAAA
This is a non-coding RNA of Bemisia tabaci, 1485 nucleotides long. NCBI's taxonomy places the organism in Eukaryota, Metazoa, Arthropoda, Insecta, Hemiptera, Aleyrodidae. The record is from RefSeq and is a predicted model, not a curated record.